This is a non-coding RNA of Rattus norvegicus (Norway rat), 6482 nucleotides long. Lineage: Eukaryota; Metazoa; Chordata; Mammalia; Rodentia; Muridae. The record is from RefSeq and is a predicted model, not a curated record.
UUCUGUGUGUGCAUGCUAACAGCCUCCACAGUCCAUUCCUUCUUCCCGGAGAGCACAUGCAGACACACAUAUGCUUUAAGUCCAGCCUUCCAUGAAUUCUAGAAAAAGACUAAAAUAGAUUCAGUACCUCCCUCUAAGAUGAUAAUGAUGACUCUGGCACUCAUAGCAGGAACAUAUAGUCAAAGGAGUAAAUUCCACAUAAGAGUUAGUUGUGCACAAGGGUAGAAUCAAGGGAUUCUGGAGGAGUCAUUACUUAGAUGUUGAGAUAGAGUCUCCUUAUUGGGCCCAGGCUAUCUUUGAACUUGAAGCAAUCAUCUUUUUCUUAUUAAUCACAUAUUUAUUUAUUCAUUGAAAUUCAUGCAUGUAUAAAUGUAUUUUGAUCAUAUGCGCCCCUACUACUUUCAACUCCCUACGGACCUCCUAUUCUGUCUUCUUCCUGGCUUCAUGCCCUGUCACCACCCCCACCACCCCAUCCCCAAAUCCAAUUAUUGUUGUCUACAUGUGCAGGCAUAUGGGUUCAUCCAGUAGGGCAUGGGCAACCUACCAGCAAACAAAAGUGACUCUCCCUCAACAACCAUUUAUAAUCCUUCUUUGCUAGGCUCAGAGUUACUGUCCAUGCUGGAAUUCUGACUGGCUUGAUCCUGUGCACAGCGGCGGUGCAGUGAUGUUUAUCAGCCAUGUCAUGUCUAAAGGGCAGCAUUAUCAUAGCUCCCCUCCACAUUCUUUGGCUCUUUCACUCUCUCUGGGCCUUCUGCUGCUGACCUGUGGAUGAGGGACAUUGAUGUAGAUGACCCACCUAUGGUUGGACCCUCACGUCUCAUCAGAUCCUUGGGUGCUAGGAUUAUAGGUGCACACCACCACAUCCUGCUCAGUGAUACUUAGUGUUUUGAGAUUUGUCAUUUGGAACCAAUAGUCUUGGCACCAUCCAACUUUAACAUAAGGCAGGUGGUUAAAGUUUGUGGGAAAAAAUACAGGAUAGCCUGUCCCAUUUAGAUUUCAGGUUAAACUAUGACUGGCUCUCAGUAUAAUUAUGUUCCCUAAAAUACUUAGGGUUUAUUUGUAUAGAAAAUUAUCCUAUCCUUGUCUCGAACUUGGCUUUCACUAGAGUCUUAUAUUUUCUGUUUGCUAAAUAUGGCAACUUUACCUGAGGUAAAGAAUAGUAACGUUUGUAGCUAACUGAAUGAGAGCAGAGCCAUUCAUCCCGAGAUGGUAAAAACCUAAUGCCAAUUGUAAAGUUUUCCCAGCAUGCCUGGCUUCUUCCCACCUGUACUCUACAUCCUCUAAGAAGCCCAGUCUGUGUAAUGUCAGGAUGUUGGUAUGGCCUUUGAGUUGCUAUCCAAGGGUGUAUCCCAUUAGCUUUCACUGAUGGCGUUCCAGUUGCAAUGAUUCUAAGCACAUACAACUUGUUGAAAGUGGAUGCUGGGUUGAGUCUCUGUUUGCAAGCAUUUCAUGAGUUCAGGGAAGGCUUGCAUAUCUCCAACUGGUGACAACUUACAGAACCAUGAGCGAAAAGAAUAAGAUGUUAAAUAUUCCAUGAGGAUUGGAGAUGAACGAAGAGUCAAUAGAGGAGGGUCCAAGUAUGGAGGGAUUAGAGAGGUUCUUAUAGACGAUGAUAUUAGCUCACAGCAUUCCAUGUUGAGCAGUCAGAACCAUCAAUGAGACAGAAAUCAGAAUGUGUGCCCAAGAAAGUUUCCAUUCCAACUUGAGAGGCAAUGAUCCAUUCAUUCAUUUGUGUAUUCAGCGGAUACAUGUCAAACUUUGAAGCACGAAUUAGUGAAAAAUUGUAAAUGUGUAAAGAGCUAUGAAGAAGAGACUCAUGGUGCUAUGAGGUGUAUGAAAAAUGCAGUGGGGGUGGAGACCACCAAUGAUUGAGUUACAUUGUGAAUGGAGAACAGAAUUAAUGAGAUGACAAGAGAGUAGUGAGAGCCUUAGGGGAGGAGAAUACAGAGCAGAUGAACUUGUCUGCAUCAGGAAGACCCUAGUGCUGACAGGACCAGGAGCAUCCAAGACCAGUUGUGACUGAAACAUAGGGAUUGUGGUGGAAUGGUAGAUUGGAAGUGUUAAAGCUCUGAACACUUUGACACCUGCUGGGAAUUUUAUCUUAAUUUUCAGGGCACGGUGGAGCCCUGUAUUUAAAUGGGGAGGAAGAGCAUCGUGUGGGCAGGGAAGGUUAUGAUGUAGGAAGGUUAAAGGGACAUAGACAAGAAGAGGGAGAGAAGGCUCUGAGGGUUCCCUGAAACGGUGCCUUCUUGUUCCCAGAACAAUAUUGCAAGGAGAAAUGCUAGAAAGGCAUUGGGGGUAGGCAUCUAAACAGGACCAAUAAGGGAAAGAGGGGGGACCCAGGAUGAAACUGUUACUUUCCCCUUCUAUGUAGCUUGGUCUUCUGUCUUUCCCAGAUGUUCAACUCUUUUGUCUUUCCUGGAUGUUCUUUGUUCUGCCAAGGUUCACACUCACUGAUCUUACACUGACCACCAGCAUCCCUGUUAUGGAAAAGUAGCCAAAUAUCUGAGAGUCAAGUAGGUAGGGAGCAACAGUAAUGACAGUUAUUGGGAAAGCAACACACUGUUUGUCAUCUCUCCAUACAAAAGAAGUAGCUCCAUGGGGACUCUGAUCAGUAUGUAGGUGGACCCUGGGGCUUAGCUUAGCACAGUAAGCAGGAUUUCACAAGCUACAGUUCUGGGUUCGGCUGGAGGGUGGUAAGGCAUGGAGCAGGGAACAGCCUGAGUCCAGCAGCACCCACAGGGCUAUGCCAACCUCAGCAGGCCAGGGGAAAGAAGGCAGGCUGGCUCACGUGCCAGCUACCCUGUGUCCUUCAUAACAGUCCAAGCUCUGGAGACAGAGUCAGAGGGAGAAGAUCAGCUUCUGAAUCUAGACUGCUCCUGUUGAGAUUGUCAUCACUGGCCCCCUUUCUGCCAAGUGUAUUUGUAAUAAUGGGCGGCAUAGUUCUAGAACUCUUCACCUACUUGUGGCAAUUCUCCUGCCCACACUUACUCCACAGAGGCUCCUCUGCCUUUGCUGGCUGCAUUCACAAAAGGAUUGCUCAAAAGUGAGGGUUCUGGUGUAUGUCGGGGGCAGGUGUUUGUGAGGCGAUGCCCAGGUAUCUGUGUGCUUAUGGCUAUAGGGGUCAGAAGGUCAACUUUAUUUCUGAAAACAGGGCCUACUAUUGGCCUAGAGCUUGCCAAUUAGGCUAGGCUGGCAGGCUAGUGAGCCCCAGGGAUCUGUCUCUUUCUCCCCAGUGCGUGCUGUACCUGGCAUUUUUGUGUGGAUUCGAGUUAUUGAACUCAGGUCGUCAUGCUCGCUCAGCAAACGCUUUACCAACUGGGCUAUCUCUCAGCCCAUCUUCCACAGCAUUUUGGUUUAGUGAGUUUAGAUCAUGUAUUAAUACUUAACUACAACUCUGGAUUUAACAGGGGCUUUGCCAUGAUUUGUGGUAUCAAGAAAUAGGAAUCUACUUACGUGGCAUUGUAUCUUUGGCGCAAACUUAGAGAAGUCUCCCGCUCCCAAUGGACAGCAUACAUCUAUGGUGAGGCACAGUACCGAUAUCCUUUCUCUGUCUUUCUAUCUCUGUCUCUCUGUUAUUAGUCCCCUGACCCAUCUAAUAGACUCGUGUCCUUGAGCCCAUCUAAUAUCAGUACGCUAUGCCUUUGUGACUGGUAUAGAAUUUCACUCACGGUGAGCCGUGAAAACCAGCUCACAGUUCCACACAGGAACCAUCUGGGGGGCUAGGCUAUUGGGAAAGAGACAGAGCGCAGAAGGCAGAGACCCCAUGACAGCUAUGUGAGUGCAUGUCACUGAGACCCUUUUCUAAAUGAACCCCACGAACCCAAAGUCCGCCAUGAAGACAGACUCCGACAUCACACCAGUGUUUUUGAGCAUACGUAGCCAUUUUCUUAACGCUACUAACCUUUCACAGACUUCAGAGCAUUGGGCUAUGGGAUGCUCUGAGGUGGCAUCUGCCAGGAAGGGAGGCUUAGAGCCUCACAAGUCACAUGUCUUGAACAUCAGCAUUUUUUUUUCUUGACAGCGUUUGGGCCUGGUGCCUCAGCUGGCUCUUCUGGAGAAGGUGCGAACGCUCUUCUCUGAACUUUGCUUAGUAAGUCUGACGCUCUUGUGUUCUGUAUCAAGAAUUGGAAGGGAAGCGGUUUUGUGGUUCCUCUCUUCCUUUCCUUUUGUUUUUUCAUCAAAAUUUCACGUCACUUGAAGAUUUUGUGACCUGUUUCAGAGGGCAUUACACCGCCCAAGUUCUCUUGGUAGCAGGACCGAAUGUUGCUGUCUGAAGGACCACAGGUCAUGAAGGCCAUGACACAUUGGUGACUGUGCAAGGGACGUUUUUGUCAGUGAGGAGGUUGGGGGAGAAGAGCAAGGCAAAUAGAUGCCACCAGAGGGUGAUGGCCCUUGGGUGGCAGGACUCAUCAGAGCUGAUUAUGUCUCAAAGUGAGGCGAAGCUCAUCAAAGGCCAGGGUGGGGGGCGUUAGGCUAUCAUUGCAGUCUCAGAUAUGGCCUAUGUUGAUCUUGUUAGAGGAGGAGGUGCUGUAACCUGUGGGCUCUUAGUGAUGCUUGUGGCUUUCUGUGGGGUCAAGUAAAAUGGCUGUGGGCAGAACUGAAAGGGUCCUAGAGGGACUCAUGAGCAACUCGGAGUAAUUACUGUUCAGGAUCAGAGCUGACUUCAGAGUGAAAAGGGAACCAAGUGAGAAAGUUGUUUCUUCUCCCCACUCCAGUCACCCCAGGCAUACUGAGAAGCCUUGCAAAAUAGGAGCCUCAGGUAGCCCCAGGGCUUCUUGUGUUGCGUCUUAUCUCAGAGCUAGGAAGGAAGAGCUGUUUGGCAAGAGCAAGACACCUGAAAGGACAAAUGCCUGAAGUGGCUUAGUCAGACACUUGCUGGAGCUCACUGUCUCUAGAAGACCCUGCAAUCUCGGAGGCCACCUAGAAGAUGGGCAGAAAUGGCUACUCCCAAGAGUCUUUAAAGCAAGUAAUUUUAUAAUCUGCAAAAGCAAUGGAACCAUACAAGACACACACACACACACACACACACACACACACACACACAUACACACACUGCUGUGUUUUGUUAGUUUGUGUGUGUGCCUGCACGUGUGCACACACAUGCAUGGGCACCUGCCUUAACCUCCCAAACAUUGGGAUUAUAGGCGUUUGGUGUCAUAUAGGGCUUGAGAGCUUGACGUGGUAGAGGACACUUUCAAGGUGAGCUUGGUCUUAUCCCCUAACAUCAGUCUUACAAAAGAGUUGAGCCCAAUUUUAUUGGUAUGUUGUGUAAUAAUUGAGUCUAAGAUCUCCAGACGCAAAUAAUUAUUUAAUGAAGUGGACCGUGUAUGCAAUGAAAUGUUGUUGGCCUACUCAGAAUUCAAAGUCAAAGACCCCAAAUCCCCAGCUGUCUAACACACACACACACACACACACACACACACACACACACACACACAAACACACACACACACACACACACACACACAAACACACACACACACUGGGGCGUGGGGGGGGAGAAAUCCAAACAACCAAACCUCUUAGGAAUAUUUAAUUCCCGUCAGUGACACCCUAGCACGUAUGACACCUUACCACAUUCCCCGCAGUAACCUCAGCUUGUCCAUCUGCCUGCCUCCGUGCUGAGGUUAUACCAUUAGGGCUUCACAGCAUGCAACUUUUGCUUUUAAAUACAGACAACCCCAGAAAGAACUAAAUCACCAUUAAUUAUGUUACAUUCUAGAAUAUAUAAAAUAGUUCAGCCUGCCUAGUAUAAUGGGAUCAUGUAUAGGAAUGGGUUCAGAAAUAUGUUAGUAGGUUUACAGUAAUCCCCAGAGUACCAAACAUGGGUUAAGAAGUUUCCACAAGUCUCUCUGCUCUCCCUCCCGCAGCUGGUUUCUACCCCAGUGCAUCCAGAAUUCCUGGAAUAAAACCACCUGGACAGGCAGCACAGAGAAGCACUUAGAGGAUGGAGUUUAGAUUCAGGAAUGAUAGCCACACUUAACUACCUAAAACAAACAAGUGGACACGACCAGCACAGCUGAGAUCUUGAAGGAACCUACUCAUCUUAUAGGCCUCCGAUGACGUAGCUCUGAGGUUCAACUAAUUGCUUCUCUCUGGACCCCGAAACCAUUGGCCUGUGCAUGCCUGAGCCUGCCUCCUCCAGCAGCAGCAAGGUCUAGGGAGUGUUGGUCACUAGGCUCUAUUUCUUUUUAUAGAUUAUUAGCAGAUCUUCAAAGCAACCAUGGGCUUUGUGUUAGCCAAUGGGAAGAAGAAGAGUGUGUCUUUUUAACUGUUGCCUCGUUAACCUGGUUCCUUGAAGAGCAAAACCAAACUGUUGUAUUGAGAGCCAGUUGCAAGAGUCCCUCUCAGCAUGAAGCCCAGGAACCAGCUUAGAACUGAAGUCAUUGUUUGCUCUGAGCGUCACUGAAACACUUCAAGUUUGCACGUAUUCUCAUCUCAAAGUUUUACGGGAGUAAUAAAGGUGGUUUAUUACCACA